This is an RNA transcript of Bufo bufo (common toad), 1472 nucleotides long. RefSeq lists it as uncharacterized. The record is from RefSeq and is a predicted model, not a curated record. NCBI's taxonomy places the organism in Eukaryota, Metazoa, Chordata, Amphibia, Anura, Bufonidae. The transcript has 9 exons.
CAAUGGCCCGCAGUGCUCCCAUCUCCUUCCUGCUACUGUUCACCCUCUGUCUGUGGAGAGCCAGAUCUGAUACAGACCCCAGUAAGGUAGAGAAGGGGAGGACGCAGCUACAGCUGCUGCAGAACUUCGCUAAACAUCCUCGCUAUGGAGACUGCUGGAGAAGAGCUCUGCAGAGAGUGGACGUGGGAUGCAAGCAGCUCAACGAGGAGGAGCAAAGCAGAAUAGCUCUGGCCUUCACCCACUGUCACUUGGAGAGAUCAGGGCGAGACUUCCCGGUCUGUACGGAGCAGAGCACGGUGCGGGAGUGCACACACAGCAUGGACCCUGUGGCAUUCAAUGCCUACACUGAGUUCUUCACCCAUGCACACAGUAUCUGCUACUACCUGCAGAACGAGCUGUGGCAGGAGGAGGCCCAGGACAUCAUCCUCAGGCUGACCGUGAAUUCUGACAGCGUCGCCAAACAACUGGAAGCGACAAACCUCAUGGCGGGAGAAAUGAUGGAAGCUCAGAAUGCCACACUCCAGUCGCAGGAGGAGAUCCUACGCAACGGGCACCUGCUGAAGCAGACCCUCCAGGAGUCCACGAUGGGAGUGAGACAAGCUUUCCAUGAAAUGCAGCAGUCGGCCAGCGAGCAGCGCCUGCUCUUCUCCGAAAUCUUUAACAGAAUCACCUACCUGCACCAGUUUGUGGUGGGAGAGUCGAAUACCCUCUACUCCUUCCUGUACAACCUCAUGGGCUGUGGUGCAGUGUUCCUGGUGACCUCCACUCAGCGCACAGCUGGCGCCAGGCUGGUUCUGUUUGGUCUGGUGGCUGCCAACAUCUAUACAGAGAGGAUGAUCUGCUCCUAUAUCUUGGGAGGCUCUCAGCCCAGCUAUGACCAGACGGAGAGCGUCACCUUCUGGAUUGGGAUAGCAAGAAAGAUCUCCAUUUCCCUUGGGUUACUGGUUCUUCUUUAUGUCUCCGUAACACAUCGGGAUAUUCAGAAGCAGAGCUUGGAGGUGCUCCACGGACUUCAGGAGACUAAAGCUGAGCUGCAGAGCAUUAUACGGGAAGCCGAAAAGCUGCUCAACAAACGCGAGAAUUCCCAAGAGAAGUUUAUACUGAAGGAAGACUUGAUCUUUGGAGAUUCUGGGAUUCCCGAUCCUUCCUUUAUUCAGGAACUUCCCGGGGGCGACAGCCUGAGAGACUCCAUGUAUAGCGUACAACUGGGUGAGAUCACAAAUUACAAGCACGCCAAGAAGAGGAGUUCGCUCCCGUUCACGUAGCGGCGGCCGCAGAAGGAGCUCUAGACCGUCGGAGCCAGCGGUAUACAAUGUCCCGGUAACACAGCCAAUGACUCCACGUUACAACCUGCGCAGCGGGGCUUCGAUGGACCAUUCUGAAUUGUAAACUGCGUGGCCCCUGGGCUUUCUGAUUCCCACCCUGCACUUAAUGUGAUGAUUUCCGCUUCCAAUGUGCAAGACGUCUUGAAC